RNAcentral lists this long non-coding RNA (520 nucleotides) under Homo sapiens (human). RNAcentral describes it as "HSALNT0403394". Lineage: Eukaryota; Metazoa; Chordata; Mammalia; Primates; Hominidae. The record is from RNAcentral.
GAUCUGCUGUGUGGACUUGACCCUGACCAGGGAGCUCCAAAAACCGGUGAUGAUAACAUGAUGUAAUUGAGAGUGAAAGGAAGGCAACUGAGAGGAUAAGAGAACGUAAACAAGAGGUUACGGCACUAAAGAACCUUCAUGAAGCUAGGUCUCCAGAUUAAUCUACUGUCAGAUACUCGAGUCUUCAAGGUGAGAACAAGAGUUUGAGUGGAGAGGACCUGGUGAAAUGGGAGCAAAAGACUUUGACAGGCAGGGUGAAGCCAAGAGACCAGAAGAUGAUGGUCAUUGAAAAGAGAUUUUGUUACAGUUCAAGAGAAGCAAGCACAACAUGCCAUGCCUUCAUCUUCUGCUAUGAUUGAACAAGAGAUUAGGACGCAGACAACACAGACUUAAGAGGUGAUCAUGUGAGGAUACAGCAAUAAGAUGACCAUCUAUAAGCCAAAGAUAGGCCUCAGAAUGAAAUCAACCCUGUUGACACCUGAAUCUCCAGAACUGUGAGAAAUAAAUUUUCAUGGCCGUG